UCUUCGGGAUAGGUAGUAGUUAAGGUGAUGGCUUAACUAGCCAAAAACUCUCGUAGUCGAAGCUGAAAGGUUGAUCGACCACAUUGGGUCUGAAAAAACCCCAAUGCAAGUUAGUACAGCAGUGAGGAAUCUUGGUCAAUGGCCUAACGGCUGAACUGGCAACUUGGAGAAGUGGCAAGUCUUAUUUUGAUUAUAUUACUAUAUAUAAUCUAUAAGAUUGUAUUAAAAUUGAAUAAAGCUUUGUUUAUAUAUUGAUAAUGACAGUAUAUAUAUCGUGUCUUGACUAAUUACGUGCCAGCAGUCGCGGUAAUACGUAAGAGACUAGUGUUAUUCAUCUUGAUUAGGUUUAAAGGGUACCUAGACGGUCAAUAUAUCUUCUAAAAUGUUAGUACUUGACUAGAGUUUGAUAUAAGAGGGCAGUACUUGAGGAGGAGAGAUGAAAUUCUAUUAUACCAAAGGGACUCGGUAAAGGCGAAGGCAGCCCUCUAUGUAAAAACUGACGUUGAAGGACGAAGGCACAGAGCACAAACAGGAUUAGAUACCCAAGUAGUCUUUGCAGUAAAUGAUGAAUGCCAUAGGUUAGAUUAA
This 588-nucleotide ribosomal RNA is filed under the name Aschersonia andropogonis. RNAcentral describes it as "SSU rRNA". It matches the Rfam family "Bacterial small subunit ribosomal RNA", at positions 233 to 831 of the family's 1533-position model. The record is from RNAcentral. Lineage: Eukaryota; Fungi; Ascomycota; Sordariomycetes; Hypocreales; Clavicipitaceae.